GGAUGUGAGGGCGAUCUGGCUGCAACAUCUGUCACCCCAUUGAUCGCCAGGGUUGAUUCGGCUGAUCUGGCUGGCUAGGCGGGUGUCCCCUUCCUCCCUCACCGCUCCAUGUGCGUCCCUCCCGAAGCUGCGCUCUCGGUCGAAGAGGACGACCAUCCCCGAUAGAGGAGAGGACCGUUCUUCCGUCAAGGGUAUACGAGUAGCUGCGCUCCCCUGCUAGAACCUCCAAACAAGCUCUCAAGACCAAUUUUCUCACCAAAAACAAUUUAGAAAAUUUAAGGGAAAAUGUUAAAAAAAAAAAAUCUGUUU
RNAcentral lists this small nuclear RNA (309 nucleotides) under Neogale vison (American mink). Its description in RNAcentral is "Neovison vison (American mink) 7SK RNA (ENSNVIG00000004663.1)". It matches the Rfam family "7SK RNA". Rfam says of the family: 7SK was discovered as an abundant small nuclear RNA in the mid-70s but a possible function has only recently been suggested. Two independent studies have found that 7SK RNA binds the CDK9/cyclin T complex (known as elongation factor P-TEFb). Lineage: Eukaryota; Metazoa; Chordata; Mammalia; Carnivora; Mustelidae. The record is from RNAcentral.